This is a long non-coding RNA of Tachysurus fulvidraco (yellow catfish), 1667 nucleotides long. RefSeq lists it as uncharacterized. The record is from RefSeq and is a predicted model, not a curated record. The transcript has 4 exons. NCBI's taxonomy places the organism in Eukaryota, Metazoa, Chordata, Actinopteri, Siluriformes, Bagridae.
UAGUCUGAUGUUUGAUAGAUUUUCUUUGAGGACACGUUUUCCUCAGCGCUGUACUGAUAUCUCUGUGUGGUUUAAUGUGUGUUUUAGAGGACAUUGGUAAUGAGAGAGGAUCUUCAUUAGAGGAUUCAGACUCACACCAGACUGGAUGGAACAACUGGAUUAUUUUACCUGUUGUGAUUGUAAUCAUCAUCAUCAUCUGUGUGUCUGUGUACUGCUGCUGUGUGAAAGGUCUCAGAUGUGACAGAAACUCCACUGAACAGAAUGAAAAUGUUCAUCGUGACACUGAGCUGCAUGACAUAAGGGCCAGAACAGAUCUGGACAGUGUGACGUACACACCAGUCGCCACACAGCCACAGAGUUAAUGACCAACACAAGAUGGUCUGCUCUGAUCUCAUCAUGGAUUUCAGAUCAUCUUAAACUUCAUCCCUGCACCACUGAGCUGAUGUUCAUCUCUGGAGCUUCAUCACCAUGUCAGGAUCUUCUGAUUUACUGCAGAACUCUCAGAUCACACAUCAUGGACCAUCAGUUACUCUUCUAUCUAACCUGACUUGGUCUUGGUCAUGUGAUGUUACACUAAAUAAUGAACUGAGAACAGCAGGAAUUUUUACUUUUAUAUUUUUAUUUGUUGUUUUAUUUUGAUGUGUUUUGUUGUGUUUACAUUGCAACAGUGGAUACAGUAUGUACAAUGGCUGAUGUCAUGUGUAGGAACUUUAUAACUGAGGAGGAAUCUGGGUUCAGCUUCUCUGUAAUAUAAAUUAAUAUAAUGUACUGCUACUGAAGUUUUAUUACAGGGGAGUUUCUUUUUACUAAAUCUUUACUUUUUUAAAAUUUAAUAAUAAGAAAUAAUAGUAUGCGUGCAUGAGUGUGUGUGUGUGUAUGUGUGUGAGUGUGUGUACUGCAUAGGAGAUAUGUGCUAGUGGCUAACAGAUUUAUAAGAUGAAGCAUUUAUUUUUGUCACAUCACCAUUACAGCAAAGUAUAUUUCUUCAUAUACUUUAUUUUGUCCCAUAACUUUGUUUGGGUUCAGCCAAUACCAUGGUAUUCUCUAAACAAACUACUUAUAGAGUGAUGCCUCACUGCCACAGACUACUGAAUCAUUCUAUCAGACCAACACCACUUUGGGGUGUUUUACAGGAGCAGGUCAGGAAACCUCCACAAAAAUAAAUUGGCCACUGUUCUGAUGGAGAAAUGGCUCAAAGUCCCUCUGGCCACUGUGCAGGACUUGUAUCUGUCAUUCAUUGUUGUGAAUUAGACGUUUUUUCCUUUUUCCUUUAUACUACAUUUCCCACAAUCCUCUGCAGACUGCAUCACUGUUUUUCAGUGCACUUCAUUGCCCAUAAUUCUCAGCUGAGGUUCCUUUCUUUUUUCUUUUGUGCACUCAACCAUGUGUGUUUGAAUCUUUUACAUUAGAUGUAGUAUGUAAGUUUUCUAUUGUAUUGUUUACGUGAAUCUGAUGGGUUGUAUACUUGUCAUUAGUAGGUUUACAGAUAUUAUGUGUGCAUGAUUUCCAUCUUUAUUAUUAUUUGUGAGCCUGAUUUCUUUGUUGUAUUAUUGUAGUGACCAGAACACCAUCUUUAUCAUCCUGUGUAUCCUAAACAUUCCACUUAUCCUGUGAAACCUGUGUACUGUGCAUCCAGUUUUAUUGUCAACAAGAAUAAAUGAGAGCAA